AGGUAACAAGGUAACGUAACAAGGUAAGGUAGCAAGGUAACGCAAGAAGGUAACAAGGUUACGUUUCAAGGUAACAUAAGGUAACGUAACAACGUAACGUAAAAACGUAACAAGGUAACGCAACAAGGUAACAUAAUGUAACGUAACAAGGUAACGUAACAACGUAACAAGGUAACAUAACAAGGUAACAAGGUAACAUAACAAGGUUACAUAACAAGGUAACGUAACAAGGUAACGUAACAAGGUAACAAGGUAACAUAACAACUUUAUAGAGAUCUAUGACAACGGUGACGUGGUCACAGACUUCUUCAACCUCUCUCCUCCUCCUCCUCCUCCUUUUCUUCAACCUCUCUCCUCCUCCUCCUCUUCUUCAACCUCUCUCCUCCUCCUCUACUUCCUUCUGUCCUCCUUUUCACUCCUCCUCUCUCCUCCUUCCACUUCCCUUCUCACCUCAACUUUACUUUACUUCACACCUUCCUCCCUCUUAUCCUUUUAUUCAACCUUGUCUCCUCUCCUCCUCCUCCUCCUCCUCCUCCUCCUCCUGUUGCCGGGGUAACGGAGCAGAUUGCUGGAUGCUUGUUGACCCGUCUCAGUGAGGAUCCUGGUUCAGGAUUGAGACUGUAAAUCUGCAUUAGAGGCUUUAUUUGGGCGCGAGGCGUCUCGCUCUGCACGAAGGGUCUUUAUCUCGCCGUGGCGAGGACGGGAGGACGGGACGACACCCCCCCCCCACACUUAAACCUACACAGAGUCACCAGCAGCUCCUCGUAUACGUUACACAGCUGAUCUCGGUUCAGUGUGAUGCUUUAAUUAAAAGUUAGUGAGGACCUUAAUUGGAUGUUAAUUGGAUAAUUGGAUGAUGCCGUUAAGGAUGUUCCAACUUUUGAGAAGAAAGUUUAUUCUCACUUUAAUCUCAUAAUUCAGAUUUGUUUCUUAGAGAAAUGACAUUAAUCUUAUUAGUUAUAGCCCAAAAUUAAGGUUUUAAUCCAACAUUAUGUGUGUAAUCUUGAUUUAUAGUAAAUUAUUUUACUUUACACCAAAAUUGGGACUUUAAUAUCAUGAUUUAAACCCUAAAUUAUAAUUUUAAUCUAAACAUACAACUUUAAUUGUAUGAUUUGAAUGCCAGAUUAUGACUUAAAUCCAAAAUAAUUCCUGUGAUCUCAGUGUUUGAACUCAAAACACGACUUCAACUUAAUAUUAUGAUGUCUAAACCCCUAAAUUGUGACUUAAAUCCAAGACUUUAUUUAAAUCUUAUAAAUGAAACCUAAUACUAUAACUUUAUUCCAAAAGCAUGAUCCUAAUUGUAUGGUUUAAACCCCCAAAUGUCCUCCCAUAUCAGAGGUCUUUAAGAGGCUGGACGGGGAUUUACUGCUGUCUGCAUGCACUGUUUGUUUGUUUGUUUGCUCGUGCCGCUUGUUGUCAUAUGUGAGAGCGUAAGAGUCGCCGUAUAUACGGAUAAUCCUUCCUGCGGUUAAUGCGCUGGCCCAGAUUGCAGCACAGUCCGCCGCCUAAUAGAUCAGAUCAGUUUCCCGGAUGGUUGAAACCAGAUGAGCUCAGAGGACAUACUGAAGGUUCAUUACUCUGUGUUCAUAAUGAAACUUACUGAUACUUAUAAUACUUUACUGUUAUCACAUACUGUACUGAAGGGCUGAAUGCUCGGUCUGUGGUGCAGCUUUCUGGAGAAUCGAUCAUACAAACAACUUUAUACACUCAACACUGCACUUCCUUAGGUCCUGAGCAAUAUACCUGCCGUGAUAUAGUUGCGUCACACACCCGAGUCGCAGCUACUUGCGGUCGGAAACACCGUUAAAAUACACUCUGGUUCACGGGAAAAACAAACUCAGGUUGCAGCUGAUUGCGGUCAGAAACUUCGGUGAAAUACACCUAGAAACAUUGUUGGAAUACGCUUAGAAACAUCGGUGAAAUACACCUAGAAACAUCGGUGAAAUACACUUAGAAACAUCGGUGGAAUACGCUUAGAAACACCGGUGAAAUACACUUAGAAAGAUCUGUGAAAUACACCUAGAAACGCUGGUGAAAUACGCUUAAAAUGCCGGUAAAAUACAGUUAGAAACGCCGGUGAAAUACACGUAGACACGUCUGUGAAACACACUUAGAAACACACUUAGAAACAUCGGUGAAAUAAACGUAGAAACAGCGGUGAAAUACACUUAGAAACGCCGGUGAAAUACACUUGGAAACAUUGGUGAAAUAUACCCAGAAACAUCGGUGAAAUACACGUAGAAAUACCGGUGAAAUACACUUAGAAAGGCAGAUGAAAUACACUUAGAAAUGCCGGUGAAAUACACUUGGAAACAUUGGUGAAAUAUACCUAGAAACUUCGGUGAAAUACACAUAGAAAUACCGGUGAAAUACACUUAGAAACGCAGAUGAAAUACACUUAGAAACGCCGGUGAAAUACACUUGGAAACAAUGGUGAAAUACACUUAGAAAGGCAGAUGAAAUACACUUAGCAACGCCGGUGAAAUACACUUGGAAACAUUGGUGAAAUAUACCUAGAAACAUCGGUGAAAUACACGUAGAAAUACCGGUGAAAUACACUUAGAUACUUCUAACACCACCACUGGGCCAUUUCUACCACUCCAAUGACUAUUAGUACUACCACUAACCAUAUUAAUUAAUUACAUACGUAUCUAUCUAUUGUGUAUUUUGGGGACAUCAGUUGACCAAACUGUAGUAUUGACUUUGAAGAUACUAAUCAACAGUACCAUCGAGGUGGGACGGCGUUACUGCAGUCAUAUGGCUGCGGGACACCACCCACCCGGGGGGUUUAAUUAAAGUGAGGCGGUCCUGCUGAUCAAAUCAGACGCUUCUUACCAGAUUAAUAGCUACAACAUUAAGCCAUUAAAAUCUUAUCACAGAGUAAUCAUCUAUCAAGGAGUCUAUCGAGGAAUUCAGUCAUUCAUCAGGACCAGAUAAGUCCUGAUUAGCAUUAGCAGUCCGUCCUGAUGACAGUCUGCUCAGACCAAACCACAUGGGAAAAACAACCUAUUAAAUAUUAAAUGGACUCUGAUUAUAACCCUUGAUAUAUUUAACAUGUUGUUUAUGAAUGUUGUCAUUGUUAUUAGAGAUACUAUGGUUAUGUUUAGUGCAUUAAUUGACUGGACUACUGCAGGAAAUGAACCUGGUUCCAAUGCAACAAAUGAAUAUUUGAUGGCUGCAGGAAUUUAACCUUUGGCGGUUGCAGGAGUUGAAUCUUUAAUUGUAGCACUGAUUGAGCCCUGGACCACUGCAACAAAUGAAUAUUUGACAGUUGCAGAAAUGUUAAGGGAUUGAAACUGUUAUAAAAACACACCCUCAGUACGGCUGAAUGGAAACAAUCACAUGGGGUCUGUGGUCAUAAUGAAACUUACUGAUACUUACAAUACUUUACUGUUAUCGUAUACUGUACUAACGGGCUGAAUGCUCGGCCUGUGGUGUUGCUGCUUGCAGCUUUCUGGAGAAUCGCUCAUACAAACAACUUUAUACACUCAACACUGCACUUCCUUAGGUCCUGAGCAAUACACCUGCCAUGAUAUAGUUGCGUCACACAACCAAGUUGCGGCUACUCACCCUCGGAAACAUCGUUGAAAUACACAUUGGUUCACGAGGAAAAACACACUCAGGUUGCAGCUAAUCGCGGUCAGAAACAUCGGUGAAAUACACAUAGAAAUGUUGGUGAAAUACACUUAGAAACAUCGGUUGAAUACACUUAGAAACAUUGGUGGAAUACGCUUAGAAACAUCGGUUAAAUACACUUAGAAACACCAGUGAAAUACAUUUAGAAACAUCGGUUAAAUACACUUAGAAACAUCGGUGGAAUACGCUUAGAAACACCGGUGAAAUACACUUAGAAACAUCGGUGGAAUACGCUUAGAAACGCCGGUGAAAUACACUUAGAAACGCUGGUGAAAUACACUCUGGUUCAAGGGAAAAAAACAACACACCCAGGUUGUGGUUACUCACGGGAGAAAUACGGGAGAAUUGUGACCCCGAGCAGAAAUCGAGAGACGGCGAUGAAAAACGUGAGUCUCCCGGGAAAAACGUGAGGGUUGGCGAGUAUGAAAAUACGUCCUCGUGACACGCAGAAUGUCGGUGUAAUGUCGUGGUAUUUAUACGCCUUCCUGUGAGAUCGGGUUGGAUCUCUCUACAUUACUCUGAGACCUCAGUAAUGUUUAGUUUUACAGUUUGUUGUCAUUUUUUAGAUGUGUCAGGUGACAGGAAGCGGCUGUUUUCAGUUUUUCCAACCAAUAAUCUGCAAGUCGACAAUUACAUCACUAGGAAAUUGGAUAUUAAAUUGGACCCAAUCACACCUGCAGCAUAGAGAGACUUUGAGAUGGAAAAAGGAAUCAAGAGAUUAGUUUGAUUUCCUUCUAGACUUCCAGAUCUCUGAGCUCCUCCAGCACGGCGCUAACCUGAGAAAAUAAACAUUUGUGCUUCAGUGGAACUACGAUGGAGCGUCUGGUC
Molecule: long non-coding RNA, 4464 nt
Organism: Sebastes umbrosus (honeycomb rockfish)
Lineage: Eukaryota; Metazoa; Chordata; Actinopteri; Perciformes; Sebastidae
Exons: 2
Source: RefSeq, a predicted model, not a curated record